This 88-nucleotide transfer RNA is filed under the name Adhaeretor mobilis. RNAcentral describes it as "Planctomycetes bacterium HG15A2 tRNA-Ala". It matches the Rfam family "tRNA". From Rfam's summary of the family: Transfer RNA (tRNA) molecules are approximately 80 nucleotides in length. Their secondary structure includes four short double-helical elements and three loops (D, anti-codon, and T loops). The record is from RNAcentral. Lineage: Bacteria; Pseudomonadati; Planctomycetota; Planctomycetia; Pirellulales; Lacipirellulaceae.
GGGCUCAUGGUCAAAAGGGAAGACACCAGCUCGGCAGGCUGGCCAAUUCUCUAGGGACCUGGCUGGGUUCGAUUCCCAGUGGGUCCAC